AACCUCUCCAACAAGACUCCCACACUGUCUAUAACAUUCUCACUGAAUGAUUCAGAGCUUCAGCAGGAAGAUGAUUAUUAGUUACAGUAUUUUAAUUGUGCUAAUUUCAUAUACUAAUGGACAGUCACUGACCUCCUCUGAGUCAGUAGUGGAGGAACCUGGGAGGUCAGUCACUCUCUCCUGUUCUGUGUCUGGUUUCUCCAUGGGCAGCUACUGGAUGCACUGGAUCCGUCAGAAACCCGGGAAAGGACUGGAGUGGAUCGGAUUUAUUGAUGGUGGCACUAGCACAUAUUUUGCCCAGUCUCUACAGGGCCAGUUCUCCAUCAGUAAAGACACCAGUAACAACAUGCUGAUGCUGCAGGUGAAGAGUCUGAAAGUCGAGGACACGGCUGUUUAUUACUGUGCUCGAGACUCACUGUGGUGCAAGAACCCAUGAAGCUGAACAAAAACAGAAACUGGAAUCUGGAAUCAUAAGCUUUGAACUCACUUUAUAA
Astyanax mexicanus (Mexican tetra) is the source of this 494-nucleotide non-coding RNA. NCBI's taxonomy places the organism in Eukaryota, Metazoa, Chordata, Actinopteri, Characiformes, Acestrorhamphidae. The record is from the annotation of a RefSeq genome assembly.